GGCCACUCUCAGUUGGCAGAGCAUUGGGCUAGUAUCCCAAAGGUCGUAGGUUCGAUUCCCACCGUGGCCA
This 70-nucleotide transfer RNA is filed under the name Paramuricea clavata. It matches the Rfam family "tRNA". From Rfam's summary of the family: Transfer RNA (tRNA) molecules are approximately 80 nucleotides in length. The record is from Rfam by way of RNAcentral. Lineage: Eukaryota; Metazoa; Cnidaria; Anthozoa; Malacalcyonacea; Plexauridae.